UGAGUUGAUUUUAUUGGAGAGUUUCCACCGUGGUAGGGCAAGAGAAAACGGGAAACUGCACAAUGAGACUAGCUCUCCUCUGACAGGGUUUCACCAAGAUAGAUGACAGUGAUCCAUGUCUGGAUGGGUAAUUUAAUCACAGGUCUUCUCUAGCAGGGGUAGUACAGUAUAAUCAUUAUGAGGAUAUUAAUGCAUGGAGGUUAUUGGCUGGAUGUCAGCAGCUGGUUGUCUUGACGUAAGCCUCCAGGGAUUCACAGCUGUGGCUCCAGGAGCAGGCUGGAGCCCACUGUGAUCUAGGAGCUUUAAAGGACCAUGUUAGUGACUGACAGGUGAAGUGGAGGUAGAUAGAUGCUUUUUGUGUAUUCUGACAGAACCUGACUGUGCCAUGUGGUUCACACUUGGUUACAUGAAGCAAGCAACAAGCGAAACCAUCUGCAUCAUUUGAAUCUGUUUGGAUCAUCACUAAUUCAAUUUUAUCUGCAUUCAGAACUGUGAAAUGGAGCUGAUAAAAUUCACAAUCAGAAAGUGAAAUUAUAUGUAAUUAAAUAAAGAUCACCAGUAUUCACAGGGUAGAAAACCUUCCCUGUGGUUUUGAAAAUUGGGAGGAAAGCGUGAUCACCCCUUUUCCUUGAUACGUGAAGACCUUGAUAGUUUUCUGUAGUUUUUUGGUCUUGUUUCUAAGUUUGACAAUGUGUUACACUCUUAUAUGCAACAGUAACAAAAGUAAAAGUAUUUAAUUUAGAUUUCUAGAAUUUUGUCUCCUUAGAAGCCAUUUAUAGUGGAAAUUAGUGUUCAAAACCUGCAGGUAUAUAACUUUAAAACAUGAACUGUUGAUUUGUGUUCGUCAUAACGAGCACCUUCACAACAAGGGACCUUAAAAGUGAUAUAAACUCUUAAAAAUGCCUUUUCUUGCUAUCAUUAUUUUAGCUUGAAACAAAUCCCCCAUCACUAGCAACUCCACCCUCCACCAUCAUCCCCUUUGCUCAAACCGCUCAUUCUUGUUCUGCGAGUACUCAUUAGAAGAACAAUCAGAGUUAUAUUUAGCCUGCUGUUGAGAAUAUUCUCAGGGAAAGUCAUUCUCUGGUGAAUUAGAGGAGAACCUUAAUGCAGGACAGGGUGAAGGCUAUUCAUUUGUAACUAAAGCUUCUGAUGGCUACUAUGAAUGCACGCAUAAGAGAAGAGGAACUGGUAAAAGGCUGACUGACAAAAAUUAUUCAGUUUUUGUUGGGUAACUCCCUGCAGUGAGAAGGUCUAAAAUACAACACAUCAAACAGAAGAAAGCGCAAAGCAGAUUUUUUUAAAUCUCCUGAGGCUGCCAACAACACUGCAAUUGAUUUAGUAUGAAAUAAAAUACCGUGUGCUUGUAAUUUCAAUGUAAAAGCUUUUUGGUGUGUUUUUAAAUAGCGAUGUGAUCAGUAGGCGUUUGAGUAGAAAAAGAGGCAGUGAAAUGUCAAAUUCUUAUUUUAAUCUUCUUUCAGUUUCCACAUUUUCAUGCACCGGGGAAUACCAGUGCAGAACUAACCUUGUCGCCAUCUCAUCCCUCGGUUCUCUCUCUCUCUCUACCCUCUCAAGAGUUUCAUCCCGUUUUCAUUUUCCCUUUUUUCUCUGAUCAGAAAAUAUGUGUUGUGUGUCUUCUCUUCUGACAGCGAUAAGGAGGCUGUUGGUUUAUUGCAAGUGAUCUUCAGGGUAGGGAUCUCCAGCUUGGACUCAAGGCUGCAGUGGCCUUACAAACUGAUACAGCUUCUUCACAUGGAGUUUUUGAAUGCAGUUGCAUGUUGUCUGCUUAUGACUUAAGAAAGCCAUUAUGUGACUGUAUUGAUCAUGCUAAUGAAGCAAAAGAGCAUCGUACGCAAGCAGACGUGGAGGUCAAGCAAUGUCACAGUUGACAGAAAUUGUUUGCAGGAAUCGAUUGGGCCUGAGAAACAACACGUUUUCAUUCUGCUCAGUGAUUGAUCUGCUCAGUAUACUGAAAAUGGAGUGAACCCAGCAGACAGACAACAUUCCUGCUGCAGAGAGAGAGAGAGAGAGAGACGACUGGUGGCCUUUACUGGACUUCAUUUGUCCAGCCCAAACACAAGAAAACCAGAUAAUGUCAGUGCCUCCAGGGCCGUCUGACAGAGGACACAUCGGCUGCUGGAGGGACGCCAGGGGACGAGAGCUGUCUUCAUGUCCCCACAACAUCAGCAUGGUGGUCGUGAAGAUUAACAAACUGCCAGGCCCAUCCCCUCCAUGACUGCUCACCUUGAAACCCCUGACACAAGUGAAUGUACACUUUCAGCUUUUCCAGAGUGUUAAAUCUAUCACUUGGAGCUGCACCUUCAACCAAACAUCAGAAUGGAGACAAAUGAGAAACAUGCAGAGAGAGAGAGAGAGAGAGAGAGGUAUAACAUGCAACAAAGGUCCCCCAGCCGAGGGUCGAACUAUGGACAUUACAGUGAAUUCAUCAGGCAAGGUGGCCAUCAUUAGUAUGAGUCGCUCCAGUUGAGUUCACGGCUGUUCGAGGGAGGAAGAUAAAGCUAGAGUCCGCAUGCAGCAUGAUCUGAGACUGGAGGCAACACAUCUGGUCAUGAAUAGGAUAGAUGGAUGAACGCUAGAGUGGCCUGUUUUAAGCCUGCUUCCUCACAAGUGGGUGGAUGAGAUUCAUGCCCAGCUGGAUAGAAGACUCUUGUUCUUUGCCAUGCAGGAUUGCUUUCCAGCCAUAAGGAUGACACGUUUUCUCCUUUCUAAAAGAUAACAAGGAGAUGAUAGAGCACAAAGUGCACGAUUUGUAGAAGAAAAACUGUAACCCUGCAUGCAUUUUGCUCAUAUAUCAUAUUUACAUAAAGUUAUGUGUAGUGGUCAUGCCUAUGAUUCUUGAGCUUUGAUUUAUGGUGUCCCUAAAAAAAAACAGUGAGAGAUGAGACAAGUUUUACUAUACACAGGUAACUUGAUCAAACCACCUGAUUUCAUGAAAAGACAUUUGAAUUAUUCUGAUCCUGUUACUCUAACUGAUCUUGUUAACUAUGAGAGCUAAUUUGUAAUUUAAAAGCAGCAGAAACUAUCUCCAGUCUUCUCUUCCAGCAUACUCUGUAUUAGUAUGACAAGCAAUAAACAACAUACUGUAAUAUGCAUUCUGUGUUGUUCUCCUGAGUGCCAGGCCUCAUUAGCAUUAUUUGCAAACAUCACAAUGCGUAUA
Long non-coding RNA from Scatophagus argus, 3175 nucleotides. RefSeq lists it as uncharacterized. The transcript is spliced from 9 exons. The record is from RefSeq and is a predicted model, not a curated record. NCBI's taxonomy places the organism in Eukaryota, Metazoa, Chordata, Actinopteri, Scatophagidae.